Molecule: ribosomal RNA, 443 nt
Filed under: uncultured bacterium
Lineage: Bacteria
Description: partial 16S ribosomal RNA
Rfam family: Bacterial small subunit ribosomal RNA
Source: RNAcentral
CCUACGGGAGGCUGCAGUGGGGAAUAUUGGGCAAUGGGCGCAAGCCUGACCCAGCAACGCCGCGUGAAGGAAGAAGGCUUUCGGGUUGUAAACUUCUUUUCUCAGGGACGAAGAAAGUGACGGUACCUGAGGAAUAAGCCACGGCUAACUACGUGCCAGCAGCCGCGGUAAUACGUAGGUGGCAAGCGUUAUCCGGAUUUAUUGGGUGUAAAGGGCGUGUAGGCGGGACCGCAAGUCAGAUGUGAAAACUCAGGGCUCAACCUUGGGCCUGCAUUUGAAACUGUGGUUCUUGAGUGCUGGAGAGGCAGUCGGAAUUCCGAGUGUAGCGGUGAAAUGCGUAGAUAUACGGAGGAACACCAGUGGCGAAGGCGGUUUGCUGGACAGCAACUGACGCUGAGGCGCGAAAGCGUGGGGAGCAAACAGGAUUAGAUACCCCGGUAGUC